GAUGAACGCUGACAGAAUGCUUAACACAUGCAAGUCUUUGGCGAUGCUGUGCUUGCACAGCCUAGCCAAGGCGGACGGGUGAGUAACGCGUAAGGAACUUGCCCUGCAGUCAGGGAUAACAGACGGAAACGACUGAUAAGACCUGGUAAAGUCAGGCGGACUCAUGUCCAGCCUGAUGAAAAGAGAUGCUGCAGGAGAGCCUUGCGUCCUAUUAGCUUGUUGGUGGGGUAACGGCCCACCAAGGCGAUGAUAGGUAGCCGGCCUGAGAGGGUGGACGGCCACAAGGGGACUGAGAUACGGCCCUUACUCCUACGGGAGGCAGCAGUGGGGAAUAUUGGACAAUGGGGGCAACCCUGAUCCAGCAAUUCUGUGUGCACGAUGAAGGUUUUCGGAUUGUAAAGUGCUUUCAGCAGGGAAGAAAAAAAUGACGGUACCUGCAGAAGAAGCGACGGCUAAAUACGUG
RNAcentral lists this ribosomal RNA (463 nucleotides) under uncultured bacterium. Its description in RNAcentral is "partial 16S ribosomal RNA". It matches the Rfam family "Bacterial small subunit ribosomal RNA", at positions 28 to 507 of the family's 1533-position model. The record is from RNAcentral.